GUGUUAGACGUCUUAUCCCAUCGGGAAGAGAAAUCACCGUUUCCGCCGCCCCUUCGGGGAUACGAAACGUCACGGCCUCUGUGCCACGUGGCACGUGGCCAUUGGGACGGAUUCGUUGGAGCGGAUUGAGGUGACGUGGCUCGAUCUGAAGAUGGGUGUGCCGAACCGUCGGGCCGACGGACGGACCGGAUGACACCACGUGGUG
Molecule: long non-coding RNA, 205 nt
Filed under: Elaeis guineensis (African oil palm)
Lineage: Eukaryota; Viridiplantae; Streptophyta; Magnoliopsida; Arecales; Arecaceae
Description: long non-coding RNA (EGUI_LNC019166)
Source: RNAcentral